UACAGAGGUCCCGAGCGUUGUUCGGAUUCACUGGGCGUAAAGGGUGCGUAGGUGGUGGGGUAAGUCUGAUGUGAAAUCUCUGAGCUCAACUCAGAAAUUGCAUUAGAAACUACCUUGCUAGAGGAUUGGAGGGGGGACUGGAAUUCUCGGUGUAGCAGUGAAAUGCGUAGAUAUCGAGAGGAACACCAGUGGCGAAGGCGAGUCCCUGGACAAUACCUGACACUGAGGCACGAAAGCUAGGGGAGCAAACAGG
RNAcentral lists this ribosomal RNA (253 nucleotides) under uncultured bacterium. RNAcentral describes it as "partial 16S ribosomal RNA". It matches the Rfam family "Bacterial small subunit ribosomal RNA", at positions 524 to 776 of the family's 1533-position model. The record is from RNAcentral.